This 225-nucleotide unclassified non-coding RNA is filed under the name Hevea brasiliensis (rubber tree). Lineage: Eukaryota; Viridiplantae; Streptophyta; Magnoliopsida; Malpighiales; Euphorbiaceae. The record is from RNAcentral.
ACCCAUCUCCACGGCUUCAAAACAAGGGAUCCUAAACUAUUCAGACCACCACCCAGCUCAUGGAAAAGUCCAGCCCAUUAACAAGUAACCUUAGCUAGGCUAGGGAACAUCCAUCUUAAUGAAACUCCCCACAUUCGCACCGCCAAUGUUGCCAAUGAACAAAACCCAGGGAUUUUCAAUCAUCAAAAAGCACCAAAGGUGCCAUGCAAGGCAUAACCGGAACAA